UGCACUCUCUGGUUCUAUAUUCAGACUGCAGAAGUAUCAGUCCAGCCACCCUUUCAGAUCUACUUCAAGGAAACACGAGCUUGAAAACUGCUCCCCGUGGUUUUGUCUGAACUGCUCACAUCCUGCAGCACACACUGGGUCCAGUGCUGGAGCCAGGAACCUAGAGGUGAGCGAGCAUCGAGCAGCACUUAGCAGAGUGAGGCAGGCGGGCCUAUGAGAAAGGAUGGAGAUAUACUGCUGCCUGAACUGGGUCAGACAGCCACAGGUGCUUCAAACCACCUUUUAUACCACUCUGGUUGGAAAUAGAACCAUUGGAGACUCAUCUUGUUACCUUCAGCAAAAAUGGAAACAAAUCAAGACUUUGAGAAUGCCAGUGGUCAGCAAAAGCUUGUUAAUAAAGCUUGUAGAGGAAGUCUCCCAGACAGUAUGCCUCCCUUGCCUAAAAUCCAUAGCAGUUGAAGUCACCCCUGUCUCAGCUGCUCCUUAAUCAAUACAACCCCUCCAAAUUGAUGUGUACUGAGACAUGCAUUGGCUUUCAAGUUAUAAGAGUGCUUACUAUAUACAACUCACUGUACAAAAGAUGGGAGAGAAUGCCAGGGCCAAAAUGUGGGAGUGAGUGGGUAGGGGAGUGGGGGGAGGGUAUGAGGGACUUUUGGGAUAGCAUUGGAAAUGUAAAUGAGGAAAAUACCUAAUAAAAAUAUUAAAAAAAAAAGAAAAUGAAGAGAC
Molecule: long non-coding RNA, 726 nt
Filed under: Mus spicilegus (steppe mouse)
Lineage: Eukaryota; Metazoa; Chordata; Mammalia; Rodentia; Muridae
Description: lncRNA (ENSMSIG00000021953.1)
Source: RNAcentral